Molecule: unclassified non-coding RNA, 598 nt
Filed under: Echinococcus granulosus
Lineage: Eukaryota; Metazoa; Platyhelminthes; Cestoda; Cyclophyllidea; Taeniidae
Description: partial sequence contains ITS1
Source: RNAcentral
UUUGCUUUCGUGUCUCUCGUUCCUCCUCAUGUGCCUGUGGCCAGUCCUAUCCAAUGGGUGGGUAGCUGGCCGGGCUGCUGUUAGCGCUGGCGGCGGUAAUUGGUGCCGUUGCUACCGUAUAAUCUGUCAUGUAUCGUGGUUGUUAUCGCUGCGAUGGGGUGCCUGGUCUGCCUUCAACCUGCAAUGAGAGAUCGGGUGUGCCCGUCUCGCUGCAUUGCUGCGGUUUGUGCCAUUUGGUGGUGGUGUAGUGGCACGAGACCGGUCCAUACCGGGGCGGCAGAGGAGUACACAUGCAUGCGCGUGUGUGCGAGGCAUAAGACGUCUGGACCGCUGCGGUGGCGGCAGUGCCAGUGCUGUUGCUGAUGCUGGUAGUCGCGUGCGUGUCCACGCCCCGUCAUGUGUCGCGUAGUCGGGUUGUGGUGUUACAUGUGUGGCUGCUGUGUUGCGUUGCUUUAUGCUGCUGCUACUGUUGCUGCGGCUGUUGUUGUUGACUCCUUAGCAGAUGUGACUGGGGCGUGCAGCAGUGUAGGCAUCGUGUCUACCGCCGCCUCAGUGGUGGUGGUGGUGUUGCCGAGAGAAGCAAACAAAAAACCUUUUC